GAAGGGGGCACCUUGAUCAGCCUGCCGCGUGAUGUGAAGAAGGCCUUCGGGUUGUAAAGCACUUUCAGCGAGGAAGAACGCCUGGUGGUUAAUACCCAUCAGGAAAGACAUCACUCGCAGAAGAAGCACCGGCUAACUCCGUGCCAGCAGCCGCGGUAAUACGA
Molecule: ribosomal RNA, 164 nt
Filed under: uncultured Halomonas sp.
Lineage: Bacteria; Pseudomonadati; Pseudomonadota; Gammaproteobacteria; Oceanospirillales; Halomonadaceae
Description: partial 16S ribosomal RNA
Rfam family: Bacterial small subunit ribosomal RNA
Source: RNAcentral